CUCGUAGGCGGCUCAGUAAGUCGGGUGUGAAAACUCCAGGCUCAACCUGGAGACGCCACCCGAUACUGCUGUGGCUAGAGUCCGGUAGGGGAGCAUGGAGUUCCUGGUGUAGCGGUGAAAUGCGCAGAUAUCAGGAGGAACACCAGUGGCGAAGGCGGUGCUCUGGGCCGGAACUGACGCUGAGGAGCGAAAGCGUGGGGAGCAAACA
RNAcentral lists this ribosomal RNA (208 nucleotides) under uncultured bacterium. Its description in RNAcentral is "partial 16S ribosomal RNA". It matches the Rfam family "Bacterial small subunit ribosomal RNA", at positions 568 to 774 of the family's 1533-position model. The record is from RNAcentral.